Molecule: ribosomal RNA, 326 nt
Filed under: uncultured bacterium
Lineage: Bacteria
Description: bacterial SSU rRNA
Rfam family: Bacterial small subunit ribosomal RNA
Source: RNAcentral
GCGAGCGUUGUCCGGAAUCACUGGGCGUAAAGGGUGCGUAGGCGGCUUCUUAAGUCCUUGUGAAAUGCCCCGGCUCAACCGGGGAGGGCCAUGGGAAACUGGGGAGCUCGAGUGCCGGAGAGGGCCGUGGAAUUCCAGGUGUAGCGGUGGAAUGCGUAGAUAUCUGGAGGAACACCAGUGGCGAAGGCGGCGGCCUGGACGGUUACUGACGCUGAGGCACGACAGCUGGGGGAGCAAACAGGAUUAGAUACCCUGGUAGUCCCAGCCGUAAACGAUGAGUGCUAGGUGUUGCGNGUAUCGACCCCUGCAGUGCCGUAGCUAACGCA